CAUAAUUUUCCUAACACACCGUUUUAUACCAACAUUAUGGCGGAUGAAGCACCGCAGACACCAGUAAUUAUCAUGGAAACUCACCUUCUGAUAUUUCUCUAACAAGUCUUCUAACAUUGGAUGAGGAAAUUUUACAGCAAGUAGGCUAUUAGCUGAUACGCGGCAGUACUACUACAAUUCCCAGAAUGCACCCAGCUACCCCGCGGCUGCCGUUGAAGCCCAUUUAGUGCAUCCAGUCAAAUUUAUGAGUGGCACUAAAAAGGAAUAUCUAAGGCACAAAGGAAAGUGUUUCGACUGGCGCAUGGCAAAGAUGACACCUUUCAAUAUUUGCAUAUAUGGCCGACUCCUCCCCUUUGCGGCGAUGCAACAUCAUUGGAGGACAGCAAAGCCACAGGAUGACAAUCGAGUGGAAGGCACAACUGUUGCUAAGGUGGAACACAGGCUUCCACCCCAUAAUGCUCUGGCCCACAUCUUGCUAGAUUACAAAGCACAUCCCAGUGGAGCAAACCCCAAACCAAACAUAAACCACACCUAUCGUCCACACAAACGCCCCCCCUUGAAUGACUUUGAGAUCCACGCAGCAGAGACGGACAAGCGCCAAACUAAGCAGGAGAUCCAAAACUAUAUCUCAGUCAUAGACAAGAUGGCAGGGGACAUCCAAGCUCUGAGGACGAAGGUGGUAAUGUUAGAGUUGGAAAUCCAGCAGCUCCGCAGGGAUCUUUCCCUGAAGGGAGACCUUGAGGACACAGGCAUCCACGCCACAGUUGGAAUUGCAGAGACACAAGACAUAUUCAAAGUUGCUCGAGAAACCAGUAAGGCCGCCUCACAAAAAGAUCGGAUCAUAAAUCCCCAGAAUGAGCUGAUAAAGUUAAAGCACCAAAAACAGCAGCAACAUGUACAGAUGGCAACAAUGGUGGUCUCACAGCAGGAAAAGAUGGAGAAUGUAAACCAUAGGUUUUCAGAGAAGAUGAAUCAUGGUGGAAAUACAAGGCUGGUACAAAGAAAGCAAAGAGGACAGCAAAUAGGGGAGUGGUGGAACGUGCAAGCUCCAACGGUCCAACAGAGACAGACAAGCAAGGAUUCAAACAUGCUAACCACUUUGACCACCGUGCGGCCAAGGUAAAUAUCUUAAAUUAGUGAAUUUGCAUUUAUUACUGCAUAAAGACACACAAGGUACAGAAAUCUAGUAGAAAGACUGGUACUGAUUCCCAGGUACUGGCUAUUGAUACCUAUUAUAUUUCUAAAAAUAAUGCAAUAUUUCCUUUUAAUAUGGCAUCAUUUACUGUUGUAAAGUGGUGGAAUUGCCGUUUCUGACAUGUAUUUUCUCACAGGCAUUUCAUACUUUCACAUAUUUAUGCUUGCUGCAUACUGUAUCUUCAUGUGUAGUUUUUUGUGGGUUUUGUUAAAUUUAGUACAUUUUUUUUAAACAAAUUUGGCAUACUGGCCCGUCUGUUGAUGGGCUCAUUUGCUUGGUAAUAAUCCCACACCUGGGCUGUGGUGCAUGGCUUUGCAGUCAUACUUUCCCUGCUAACUUUUACUACAUUAUCUUAUAAGGAAAUAUGUCUGUCCCCUAUGGGUGGUGUCAUGACAAAAAAAUAAUAGUUCCGUAGUUGUCCUAAGAGUGUCAUACCAUGAUUAAAGAUUCCAUCCCAAGCUUCCACAUGAUCCCGCCACACUUUGGCUCCAACGUGCCUGAGCAGAGACGGUGGUAUGUACAGCAUGGGUGAGGUAGUCUUGAACAUCAGAGUGAUGCAGUCAAUGAAGUGCUGGGCUUCCGGAUCGAUGUAGUCCAGCAUCAAACCGAGACGCUCGCCAUAUAGAACUGAGCUCACCGCUAUGAAAAUAGAAUGGAGUAAACAGUCAAAAUAGAGUCAGGUGUAGCCACAGUACACCUGCACAAUGUUUUGAGAUUCAAUACAGCUACAUUAAUACAUGAAGGAAUAACUGAGCCACAGAAUCUCUAUGCAUUAUGCACGUGUACCUAAUAUUGUGACCAGGAAGUGUGUUUUAAGAACAAGGCAUCCUCACACUCCAGUGCAUAUUUGAAGAGUUCUUGAGAGAGGUCAGUUGUCCACUUGUUCUGUCCGUUCCGUUGUAUCUUCUUGUGAACCCUGGCCACAAAGUCUUGGCCCACUUCAUCUAGCAAGGGCACAAAGCUUCCCAGCAUCUUGGGCGAGAUCACCUCCUUGUUAAGGAUGACCCGAUUUGACCUCCAUUCCUCCCCAUUCCUGCAAAUAUACAAAAACCACUGGUAAAAUUGAAAGUGUAGACAUGUAUUUGGAAGAUGAGGAUACCCACUUGAGUAGAACUCCAUAUUUGCGAUUCCUGUAGUCUCUGUACGAGGUCCAUGCUUCAACUUUCAGCCUUUUUGGAUAAUAACCCUCCGCUUUGAACAGGAUGGCAGCAUCAUCUGGGUUGAUGAUGUUUACACUUUCAUAGUAUCCUACUUUUUCUCUGAUAGCCACAAUACAAGAGAGAAAGAAGGGGACAUAUCAGUUUCACUAUGUUUUGGGAAUAUAUUAUUUUUAACAUGCCUUGCACAUUACAAAUUUCAAGCAGCCAAGUCGGAGAUGUUCAAUGCCUUGCUCAAAGUCACCUCAGUUGCUGGUCAGGGGGAACCAAACUGGUGGCACUUGGGCAGGCAUGUGCACAGAUAGACCCCUAGUGUUGCUUUUGAUUUGCAUUUAUUUGAGUUAUUGUGGGACUUCCCUGACCUGCUCAACAGUGCUCUCAAGCCCGCCCCUCCCCAUUCAGUGCUGACUGCUACAGCCCAUACAGACAGACAUGUAAUAAUGGUGUUGGGUUGCCAAUUAACCUAACAUGCAUGGAGAGCAUGCAAACUCCACACAGAGAUGCUCAACGGAGAUUUGAACCCAGAUCUUCUGACUGUGUGGCCAGCAUGCUAACCAAUAGCCCACCUAGACCCGAUUUGUAUAUAUAUUUUAUUUAUAAAUAUAUGUGUAAUAAUAACUUCUAUUAAUACAUUUUGUGAUGGGUGCCCUUUAUUCUGGCUUGAGCACCCGCCCCCCAAAACGUUCCUUCCUUUGGGUAACAAGCCACAAACUCUUAACCACAUAAUCACAACUACCAGACAAGUUUGCCAUAAUGUUUUGUCUGCAUUGAUUAUUUAACCAGUACAUCCGCCAUACCUGUAAAUGGGUCCAAAAGUGUUAAAAUUCUGCACCAUGAUUCGGUGAAGGUUUUUGAAACCAUCCAGCUUCCAGAAAUUAUACAGGUUGGCUAGACCGUUCUUCCACAGUCCAGGAAUCUCAUUGAAGGGUUUGAUGAUGGUGCUGCUCUCAGUGAAGGCCUGUCUGACCAUCGGCAUGCUGCUGCUGCUCCUGCGUACACCUCCUGCCAUCAGCUCAUCCAGACAGGUCACGGUGAGUGCAGAGGGUCCACGCCACAAACUCCACCUUGCCAUUCUGCGACUCUACUGUACUCCAUCCAGAAAAGCAGCUGUAUGGUUCAAGAGCAAGAGGCUGGUCUAAAGAGACCUCCCACUGCACACCCCUUUGCUCUCAAGGCUGUUCCAAGUUGCAGCACAUCGUGUCUUUGUGGGAUAUAUUACAAACUACACUCUUAUUACCGCAGUCAAAAAGUUUGUAACAAUUAUGUUAAUGUGAAAAACAACUCUCAGUACAAAGUAUCACAUUGUGAUAAAACUGAUCAUAUGCUCACGCCCAGUUAAGGAGAAAUUAAUUUAUAGCAAACAAUCAUGCAAUACAAGAAAAAGGCUUUCACAUCAACUGUGUUUCAUUCAAUAACUUAUUCAAAUGUUAUUUCUUAAGCAGCUUUAUGAGUUCCUCCAACUUCAUAGCCGUCCUCAUAUCCCCCUCAAUUUGAAGUCGACCGCAGUUGUAAGCAGAAAAUGGUAGCAGCGUGCCACGGAACAUGGCCAGAAGGUCAUCCUUGCACAUCGUCAGUGUUACAUCAGGCUGCCGGCACAGUGACCCCUCUCCAGCUGCACCGCGGCCUAAACAACACACACACAAAGUGAUAUUGUGUAACACCUUCAUUUGUAUGAUGUAAUUCCAAACAAUCUUCUCUGUAUGCGAUACCUUGGCUCAAAUCCACAUAGUAGCUGUGAUGCUGUCCAUCUUCUGAGCUGAUGUCAAACUGGAAGCAGGCGCCCACCUGGCACACCAAAGCUUCAGAGAGGACAAGCUUGACCCUGUGGAGCAGCUCUUCAACAGAGCCUGACGUCUGCUCAUCUAUAAAGGUGACACUGCUCUCUAAAGGGGGAAAAUAUAUGAUUUUGUUAAACAGCAGCACUCCAACAAUUGUGUGUGUCGGCCUACCUUGCUGAGAUUGUGAGCUUUGGCUGAUGAAGUGCAUGGCAAGCUGCUGAAGGGGGCCUGUGAGACCCUCCAUGCCUGGUACAGAGGGAGGAACAAUGAGGGGUCCAGAGGGUGCAUCCUCAGGUGAUUUGAGAAGAGAGCCAGGGAGAGUAAAAAAAGAAAGUGUGACGUGAGGCAGCCACGAGGAAGAUUUAAAGAGGCGUUCAGGUCCUGGACUGACACCACUGACAAGACUGGGUUCCAGAUUCUGAACUGAAUGUCUGCUCCUACAGACAAGAGGCCACCAUCCCUGGUAUUCACCUAAAUUACAUGAAGGGCAUCAUUCCUGUAUUUUAACUUUCAUGAAAAAAAAAAUCCUCUCCUUAUGCCAGAGUAACACAGCUUCCAGUCCGCUCUGCAACUUCAGUGUAAUACUUCCUCUAGCUGGUAAAGUCAGGCCUUCAAAAUACAGGUAAGGGCCAGAAAAUUAGAAUAUUUUCAUAAACUUGAUUUAUUUCAGUCAUUGUGUUCAAAAGGUAUAACUUUUACAUUAUAUUUAAUCAUUGCACACAGACUGAUGCAUUUCAAAUGUUUAUUUCUUUAAUUUUGAUGAUUAUAGGUGGCAACAAAUGAAAAUCCGAAAUUCCGUGGGUCAGAAAAUUAGAAUAUUGUGAAAGGGUUCAAUUUUGAAGACACCUGGUGCCACCCACUAAUCAGCUGAUUAACUCAAAACACCUGCAAAGGGCUUUAAAUGGUCUCUCAGUCCAGUUCUGAAGCUUACACAAACAUGGGGAAGACUUCAGAUUUGACAGCUGUCCAAAAGGCAACCAUUGACACAUUGCACAAGGAGGGCAAGACUCAAAAGGUUAUUGCUGAAAAGGUUGGCUGUUCUCAAACUUCUGUGUCCAAACACAUUAAUGGAGAGGCAAAGGGAAGGAAAAACUGUGGUAGGAAAAAGUGUACAAGCGAUAGGAAUCACCGCGCCCUGGUGAAGAUUGUGAAAAAAAACCCAUUCAAAAAUGUGGGGGAGAUUCACAAGGACUGGACUGCUGCAGGAGUCAGUGCUUCAAGAUCCACCACCAAGAGACGCAUGAAAGACAUGGGUUUCAACUGCCGCAUACCUCGUGUCAAGCCUCUUUUGAACAAGAAACAGCGCGAAAAGCGUCUCACCUGGGCUAAGGAAAAAAAGAGCUGGACUGCUGCUGAGUGGUCCAAAGUUAUGUUUUCUGAUGAAAGCAAAUUUAGCAUUUCCUUUGGAAAUCGAGGUCCCAGAGUCUGGAGGAAGAGAGGAGAGGCACAGGAUCCACGUUGCUUGAAGUCUAGUGUGAAGUUUCCACCAUCAGUGAUGGUUUGGGGUGCCAUGUCAUCUGCUGGUGUCGGUCCACUCUGUUUCCUGAGAUCCAAGGUCAACGCAGCCGUCUACCAGCAAGUUUUAGAGCACUUCAUGCUUCCUGCUGCUGACCUGCUUUAUGGAGAUGGGGAUUUUACGUUCCAACAGGACUUGGCGCCUGCACACAGCGCCAAAUCUACCAGUGCCUGGUUUAAGGACCAUGAUAUUUCUGUUCUCAAUUGGCCAGCCAACUCGCCUGACCUUAGCCCCAUCGAAAAUCUGUGGGGUAUUGUUAAGAGGAAGAUGCAGAAUGCCAGACCCAAAAAUGCAGAAGAGCUGAAGGCCACUAUCAAAGCAACCUGGGCUCUCAUAACACCUGAGUAGUGCCAGAAACUGAUCGACUCCAUGCCACGCCGCAUUAAUGCAGUCAUUGAGGCAAAAGGAGCUCCAACCAAGUAUUGAGUACUGUACAUUCUCAUAUUUUUCACGUUCAUACUUUUCAGUUGGCCAACAUUUCUAAAAAUCCUUUUUUUGUAUUGGCCUUCGGUAAUAUUCUAAUUUUCUGACCCACGGAAUUUCGGAUUUUCAUUUGUUGCCACCU
This is a non-coding RNA of Doryrhamphus excisus (bluestripe pipefish), 6211 nucleotides long. Lineage: Eukaryota; Metazoa; Chordata; Actinopteri; Syngnathiformes; Syngnathidae. The record is from RefSeq and is a predicted model, not a curated record.